RNAcentral lists this long non-coding RNA (233 nucleotides) under Ananas comosus (pineapple). RNAcentral's name for it is "long non-coding RNA (ACOM_LNC039232)". Lineage: Eukaryota; Viridiplantae; Streptophyta; Magnoliopsida; Poales; Bromeliaceae. The record is from RNAcentral.
AGAGGCCACCAAAGUUGGGUACAUUUUGUUAGCAAACACCCUUUUAUCAUCUUUUGUACUUGAUGAUUAGUGAUGUAAAGAAAAGAAUGUAAAGCUCAUUUUGAGAUAAAUGUGAUGUAAGAAAGAAAUGAUGGAAUUUAUGUAAUGAAAUGCAAGGAAUUCUAAAUGUAAGAAAUGGAUGCAAUGUAUAUGAUCUAAAAUGAAUCAUACUACUUGUGUAGAUGUUUAGUUUU